UACGAAGGGUGCAAGCGUUAAUCGGAAUUACUGGGCGUAAAGCAUGCGUAGGCGGUCUUUUAAGUCUGCUGUGAAAUCCCCGGGCUCAACCUGGGAAUGGCAGUGGAUACUGGGAGGCUAGAGUGUGUCAGAGGAUGGUGGAAUUCCCGGUGUAGCGGUGAAAUGCGUAGAUAUUGGGAGGAACACCAGUGGCGAAGGCGGCUACCUGGACCGGUUCUGACGCUGAGGCGCGAAAGCGUGGGUAGCAAACAGG
RNAcentral lists this ribosomal RNA (253 nucleotides) under uncultured bacterium. RNAcentral's name for it is "partial 16S ribosomal RNA". It matches the Rfam family "Bacterial small subunit ribosomal RNA", at positions 524 to 776 of the family's 1533-position model. The record is from RNAcentral.